AAUCCAUAGGUUAAUGAGGCGAACCGGGGGAACUGAAACAUCUAAGUACCCCGAGGAAAAGAAAUCAACCGAGAUUCCCCCAGUAGCGGCGAGCGAACGGGGAGGAGCCCAGAGCCUGAAUCAGCAUGUGUGUUAGUGGAAGCGUCUGGAAAGGCGCGCGAUACAGGGUGACAGCCCCGUACACAAAAGCGCAUGUGCUGUGAGCUCGAUGAGUAGGGCGGGACACGUGGUAUCCUGUCUGAAUAUGGGGGGACCAUCCUCCAAGGCUAAAUACUCCUGACUGACCGAUAGUGAACCAGUACCGUGAGGGAAAGGCGAAAAGAACCCCGGCGAGGGGAGUGAAAAAGAACCUGAAACCGUGUACGUACAAGCAGUGGGAGCCCCACCACCAAAGCAUUCUCUGGUGUUGAAGGCCCUGCAAAGCAGCAUCGCGGUGGCGGAGCGUCGUUUGCGACGCCCGACACACAAAACAAGCGGUGAGUGCUUUGGGGUGGGGUGACUGCGUACCUUUUGUAUAAUGGGUCAGCGACUUAUAUUCUGUAGCAAGGUUAACCGUAUAGGGGAGCCGGAGGGAAACCGAGUCUUAAUUGGGCGUUAAGUUGCAGGGUAUAGACCCGAAACCCGGUGAUCUAGCCAUGGGCAGGUUGAAGGUUGGGUAACACUAACUGGAGGACCGAACCGACUAAUGUUGAAAAAUUAGCGGAUGACCUGUGGCUGGGGGUGAAAGGCCAAUCAAACCGGGAGAUAGCUGGUUCUCCCCGAAAGCUAUUUAGGUAGCGCCUCGUGAAUUCAUCUCCGGGGGUAGAGCACUGUUUCGGCUAGGGGGUCAUCCCGACUUACCAACCCGAUGCAAACUGCGAAUACCGGAGAAUGUUAUCACGGGAGACACACGGCGGGUGCUAACGUCCGUCGUGAAGAGGGAAACAACCCAGACCGCCAGCUAAGGUCCCAAAGUCAUGGUUAAGUGGGAAACGAUGUGGGAAGGCCCAGACAGCCAGGAUGUUGGCUUAGAAGCAGCCAUCAUUUAAAGAAAGCGUAAUAGCUCACUGGUCGAGUCGGCCUGCGCGGAAGAUGUAACGGGGCUAAACCAUG
This 1092-nucleotide ribosomal RNA is filed under the name Salmonella enterica. RNAcentral's name for it is "partial 23S ribosomal RNA". It matches the Rfam family "Bacterial large subunit ribosomal RNA", at positions 161 to 1191 of the family's 2925-position model. Lineage: Bacteria; Pseudomonadati; Pseudomonadota; Gammaproteobacteria; Enterobacterales; Enterobacteriaceae. The record is from RNAcentral.